Molecule: long non-coding RNA, 202 nt
Filed under: Solanum tuberosum (potato)
Lineage: Eukaryota; Viridiplantae; Streptophyta; Magnoliopsida; Solanales; Solanaceae
Description: long non-coding RNA (STUB_LNC003743)
Source: RNAcentral
AAACUGCAAAGAGUUGCUCCUCAUGUGCAUCUGCAGCUUCUACUACUUGUGCUUGCAAAGCACCAGAGGCCUUUGCUCUUGAUUUGCAGACCUUGGAUAUGUGCCCCGUCUGCUUACAGUUGCCGCAUAUAGCAUCGACCCUCCACCAACAGUACUUCUCCAGAUGUGUAGUUUUUUUACAAUGUUUGCACGGAGGGAACUU